ACCGGCGCACGGGUGAGUAACACGUAUGCAACCUGCCUGUAAGCGGGGAAUAACCCGGAGAAAUCCGGACUAAUACCGCAUAAUAUCAAUUUACUGCAUGGCAGAUUGAUUAAACAUUUAUGGCUUACAGAUGGGCAUGCGUAUGAUUAGAUAGUUGGUGAGGUAACGGCUCACCAAGUCAACGAUCAUUAGGGGUUCUGAGAGGAAGGUCCCCCACACUGGUACUGAGACACGGACCAGACUCCUACGGGAGGCAGCAGUGAGGAGUAUUGGUCAAUGGGCGAGAGCCUGAACCAGCCAAGUCGCGUGAAGGAAGAAGGUUCUAUGGAUUGUAAACUUCUUUUGCAUGGGAAUAAAGUGAGCUACGUGUAGUUUAUUGUAUGUACCAUGCGAAUAAGGAUCGGCUAACUCCGUGCCAGCAGCCGCGGUAAUACGGAGGAUCCGAGCGUUAUCCGGAUUUAUUGGGUUUAAAGGGUGCGUAGGCGGGAAAUUAAGUCAGUGGUGAAGGUUUGCAGCUCAACUGUAAAAUUGCCAUUGAAACUGAUUUUCUUGAGUGUAAAUAAGGUAGGCGGAAUGUGUUGUGUAGCGGUGAAAUGCAUAGAUAUAACACAGAACCCCGAUUGCGAAGGCAGCUUACCGGGCUACAACUGACGCUGAGGCACGAAAGCGUGGGGAUCAAACAGGAUUAGAUACCCUGGUAGUCCACGCA
Molecule: ribosomal RNA, 709 nt
Filed under: uncultured bacterium
Lineage: Bacteria
Description: bacterial SSU rRNA
Rfam family: Bacterial small subunit ribosomal RNA
Source: RNAcentral